Molecule: ribosomal RNA, 524 nt
Filed under: unidentified oral bacterium AP60-53
Lineage: Bacteria
Description: bacterial SSU rRNA
Rfam family: Bacterial small subunit ribosomal RNA
Source: RNAcentral
AGAGUUUGAUCCUGGCUCAGAUUGAACGCUGGCGGCAUGCUUUACACAUGCAAGUCGGACGGCAGCACAGAGAAGCUUGCUUCUUGGGUGGCGAGUGGCGAACGGGUGAGUAGUAUAUCGGAACGUACCGAGUAAUGGGGGAAAACUAAUCGAAAGAUUAGCUAAUACCGCAUAUUCUCUGAGGAGGAAAGCAGGGGACCUUCGGGCCUUGCGUUAUUCGAGCGGCCGAUAUCUGAUUAGCUAGUUGGUGGGGUAAAGGCCUACCAAGGCGACGAUCAGUAGCGGGUCUGAGAGGAUGAUCCGCCACACUGGGACUGAGACACGGCCCAGACUCCUACGGGAGGCAGCAGUGGGGAAUUUUGGACAAUGGGCGCAAGCCUGAUCCAGCCAUGCCGCGUGUCUGAAGAAGGCCUUCGGGUUGUAAAGGACUUUUGUCAGGGAAGAAAAGGCUGUUGCUAAUAUCGACAGCUGAUGACGGUACCUGAAGAAUAAGCACCGGCUAACUACGUGCCAGCAGCCGCGGU